RNAcentral lists this ribosomal RNA (482 nucleotides) under uncultured soil bacterium. RNAcentral describes it as "bacterial SSU rRNA". It matches the Rfam family "Bacterial small subunit ribosomal RNA", at positions 26 to 489 of the family's 1533-position model. The record is from RNAcentral.
AGAUUGAACGCUGGCGGCAGGCCUAACACAUGCAAGUCGAGCGGAUGAGAAGAGCUUGCUCUUCGAUUCAGCGGCGGACGGGUGAGUAAUGCCUAGGAAUCUGCCUGGUAGUGGGGGACAACGUCUCGAAAGGGACGCUAAUACCGGCAUACGUCCUACGGGAGAAAGCAGGGGGACCUUUGGGCCUUGCGCUAUCAGAUGAGCCUAGGUCGAUUAGCUAGUUGGUGGGUAAAGGCUCACCAAGGCGACGAUCCGUAACUGGUCUGAGAGGAUGAUCAGUCACACUGGAACUGAGACACGGUCCAGACCUCCGUACGGGAGGCGAGCGAGGUAGGGAAUAGUUGGACAAGUGGGACGAAGCCUAGACUCCGAGCCAGUCGCCGGCGUGUGUAGAAGGAACGGUUCUUCGGUAUUAGUAAGCUACGUUUAAGUUAGGGAGUAAGGCUAAGUUACCGUAAUACGUGUAUUGUCUUGACGUACGA